GAUGAACGCUAGCGGCAGGCCUAACACAUGCAAGCCGAGGGGCAGCACAUAAAGUGGUUUACUACUUUUGGUGGCGACCGGCGGACGGGUGCGUAACGCGUAUGCAACCUGCCUCCAACAGGGGGAUAACGGAGAGAAAUUUCCACUAAUACCCCAUAAUAUCAGAAUCGGCAUCGGUUUUGGUUGAAAACUCCGGUGGUUGGAGAUGGGCAUGCGUUGUAUUAGAUAGUUGGUGAGGUAACGGCUCACCAAGCCAACGAUACAUAGGGGGACUGGGAGGGUAGCCCCCCACACUGGUACUGAGACACGGACCAGGCUCCUACGGGAGGCAGCAGUGAGGAAGAUUGGUCAAUGGGGGCAACCCUGAACCAGCCAUGCCGCGUGCAGGAAGACGGCUCUAUGAGUUGUAAACUGCUUUUACAAGGGGAUAAAUCGGUGUACGUGUACACCGUUGAAGGUACCUUGGGAAUAAGGAUCGGCUAACUCCGUGCCAGCAGCCGCCGUAA
This 506-nucleotide ribosomal RNA is filed under the name uncultured bacterium. RNAcentral describes it as "partial 16S ribosomal RNA". It matches the Rfam family "Bacterial small subunit ribosomal RNA", at positions 28 to 523 of the family's 1533-position model. The record is from RNAcentral.